CCUACGGGUGGCUGCAGUGAGGAAUAUUGGUCAAUGGGCGCGAGCCUGAACCAGCCAAGUAGCGUGAAGGAUGACUGCCCUGCGGGUCGUAAACUUCUUUUAUAAAGGAAUAAAGUGUGGCACGCGUGCCUUUUUGUAUGUACCUUAUGAAUAAGCAUCGGCUAACUCCGUGCCAGCAGCCGCGGUAAUACGGAGGAUCCGAGCGUUAUCCGGAUUUAUGGGGUUUAAGGGGAGCGUAGAUGGGUUGUUAAGUCGGUUGUGAAAGUUCGCGGCUCAACCGUAACACUGCCAUUGAUACUGGCAGCCUUGAGUAGAGUUGAGGUAGGCGGAAUGCGUGGUGUAGCGGUGAAAUGCUUAGAUAUCACGAAGAACUCCGAUUGCGAAGGCAGCAUGCCAAACUGCCACUGACAUUGAUGCUCGAAAGUGUGGGUAUCAAACAGGAUUAGAUACCCGAGUAGUC
Molecule: ribosomal RNA, 460 nt
Filed under: uncultured bacterium
Lineage: Bacteria
Description: partial 16S ribosomal RNA
Rfam family: Bacterial small subunit ribosomal RNA
Source: RNAcentral